This 450-nucleotide ribosomal RNA is filed under the name uncultured bacterium. RNAcentral's name for it is "bacterial SSU rRNA". It matches the Rfam family "Bacterial small subunit ribosomal RNA", at positions 354 to 796 of the family's 1533-position model. The record is from RNAcentral.
GUGGGGAAUAUUGGACAAUGGGCGAAAGCCUGAUCCAGCCAUGCCGCGUGUGUGAAGAAGGUCUUCGGAUUGUAAAGCACUUUAAGUUGGGAGGAAGGGCAGUAAGUUAAUACCUUGCUGUUUUGACGUUACCGACAGAAUAAGCACCGGCUAACUUCGUGCCAGCAGCCGCGGUAAUACGAAGGGUGCAAGCGUUAAUCGGAAUUACUGGGCGUAAAGCGCGCGUAGGUGGUUUUGUAAGUUGGAGGUGAAAUCCCCGGGCUCAACCUGGGAACUUCCUCCAAAACUACUGAGCUAGAGUACGGUAGAGGGUAGUGGAAUUUCCUGGGUAGCGGUGAAAUGCGUAGAUAUAGGAAGGAACACCAGUGGCGAAGGCGACUACCUGGACUGAUACUGACACUGAGGUGCGAAAGCGUGGGGAGCAAACAGGAUUAGAAACCCCAGUAGUCC